GCGGCGUGCCUAAUACAUGCAAGUCGAGCGGACAGAUGGGAGCUUGCUCCCUGAUGUUAGCGGCGGACGGGUGAGUAACACGUGGGUAACCUGCCUGUAAGACUGGGAUAACUCCGGGAAACCGGGGCUAAUACCGGAUGCUUGUUUGAACCGCAUGGUUCAAACAUAAAAGGUGGCUUCGGCUACCACUUACAGAUGGACCCGCGGCGCAUUAGCUAGUUGGUGAGGUAACGGCUCACCAAGGCAACGAUGCGUAGCCGACCUGAGAGGGUGAUCGGCCACACUGGGACUGAGACACGGCCCAGACUCCUACGGGAGGCAGCAGUAGGGAAUCUUCCGCAAUGGACGAAAGUCUGACGGAGCAACGCCGCGUGAGUGAUGAAGGUUUUCGGAUCGUAAAGCUCUGUUGUUAGGGAAGAACAAGUACCGUUCGAAUAGGGCGGUACCUUGACGGUACCUAACCAGAAAGCCACGGCUAACUACGUGCCAGCAGCCGCGGUAAUACGUAGGUGGCAAGCGUUGUCCGGAAUUAUUGGGCGUAAAGGGCUCGCAGGCGGUUCCUUAAGUCUGAUGUGAAAGCCCCCGGCUCAACCGGGGAGGGUCAUUGGAAACUGGGGAACUUGAGUGCAGAAGAGGAGAGUGGAAUUCCACGUGUAGCGGUGAAAUGCGUAGAGAUGUGGAGGAACACCAGUGGCAAAGGCGACUCUCUGGUCUGUUACUGACUCUGAGGAGCGAAAACAUGAGGAGCGCACCCGAUUAGAUACCCUGGUUCUCCACGCCCUAAACGAUGAGCGCUACUCGUGGAGGGGUUCC
Molecule: ribosomal RNA, 813 nt
Filed under: Bacillus mojavensis
Lineage: Bacteria; Bacillati; Bacillota; Bacilli; Caryophanales; Bacillaceae
Description: bacterial SSU rRNA
Rfam family: Bacterial small subunit ribosomal RNA
Source: RNAcentral